GACGAACGCUGGCGGCGUGCCUAAUACAUGCAAGUAGAACGCUGAUGGAGGAGCUUGCUCUUCUGGAUGAGUUGCGAACGGGUGGGUAACGCGUAGGUAACCUGCCUGGUAGCGGGGGAUAACUAUUGGAAACGAUAGCUAAUACCGCAUAGCAGUAGAUGUUGCAUGACAUUUGCUUAAAAGGUGCAAUUGCAUCACUACCAGAUGGACCUGCGUUGUAUUAGCUAGUUGGUGGGGUAACGGCUCACCAAGGCGACGAUACAUAGCCGACCUGAGAGGGUGAUCGGCCACACUGGGACUGAGACACGGCCCAGACUCCUACGGGAGGCAGCAGUAGGGAAUCUUCGGCAAUGGACGGAAGUCUGACCGAGCAACGCCGCGUGAGUGAAGAAGGUUUUCGGAUCGUAAAGCUCUGUUGUAAGAGAAGAACGAGUGUGAGAGUGGAAAGUUCACACUGUGACGGUAUCUUACCAGAAAGAGACGGCUAACUACGUG
RNAcentral lists this ribosomal RNA (495 nucleotides) under uncultured bacterium. RNAcentral's name for it is "partial 16S ribosomal RNA". It matches the Rfam family "Bacterial small subunit ribosomal RNA", at positions 28 to 507 of the family's 1533-position model. The record is from RNAcentral.